Molecule: ribosomal RNA, 424 nt
Filed under: uncultured bacterium
Lineage: Bacteria
Description: partial 16S ribosomal RNA
Rfam family: Bacterial small subunit ribosomal RNA
Source: RNAcentral
AAUAUUGGACAAUGGGGGGAACCCUGAUCCAGCCAUGCCGCGUGUUUUAAGAAGGUCUUCGGAUUGUAAAGCACUUUACGUUGGGAGGAAGGGUGGUAGGUUAAUACCAUGCAAUUUUGACGUACCCACCAGAAUAAGUCCCGGCUAACCUCGUCCAAGCAGCCGCGGUAAUACAAUGGGUGCAAGCGUUAAUCGGAAUUACUGGGCGUAAAGCGCGCGUAGGUGGUUCGUUAAGUUGGAAGUGAAAGCCCCGGGCUUAACCUGGGAAUUGCUUUCAAAACUGACGAGCUAGAGUACGGUAGAGGGUAGUGGAAUUUCCUGUGUAGCGGUGAAAUGCGUAGAUAUAGGAAGGAACAUCAGUGGCGAAGGCGACUACCUGGACUGAUACUGACACUGAGGUGCGAAAGCGUGGGGAGCAAACAGG